ACUUAAAUUGAAGAGUUUGAUCAUGGCUCAGAUUGAACGCUGGCGGCAGGCCUAACACAUGCAAGUCGAGCGGUAGCACAGAGAGCUUGCUCUCGGGUGACGAGCGGCGGACGGGUGAGUAAUGUCUGGGAAACUGCCUGAUGGAGGGGGAUAACUACUGGAAACGGUAGCUAAUACCGCAUAACGUCGCAAGACCAAAGUGGGGGACCUUCGGGCCUCAUGCCAUCAGAUGUGC
This 235-nucleotide ribosomal RNA is filed under the name Klebsiella pneumoniae. RNAcentral's name for it is "partial 16S ribosomal RNA". It matches the Rfam family "Bacterial small subunit ribosomal RNA", at positions 1 to 230 of the family's 1533-position model. Lineage: Bacteria; Pseudomonadati; Pseudomonadota; Gammaproteobacteria; Enterobacterales; Enterobacteriaceae. The record is from RNAcentral.